This 932-nucleotide long non-coding RNA is filed under the name Erythranthe guttata (spotted monkey flower). RNAcentral describes it as "long non-coding RNA (EGUT_LNC002671)". The record is from RNAcentral. Lineage: Eukaryota; Viridiplantae; Streptophyta; Magnoliopsida; Lamiales; Phrymaceae.
AAUAAUAUGCAAAAUAUUAUUACUAUUUCAAAAAUAAAUAUUACAAAGAUUAUUAUGAAAAUACAAGCAAUAUUAAUACCAAGUAGAAUAUCGAGCUGGAAUUGUGUAAGAUAUAAAUGAAGAGUGAGGCCAAAGAUCUGUGAUUUAGGAGAAUCUCCAUUCUCUAACGUAGCCACUACCAUCAUAUUAUUUUUUUUUUUAUUUUAUGUUUUUUUUUCCUUAUUUUUUUUAGUCAAUUUUUUUUUUCCUAUUCCGACCGUUCCGGUGCCGUUUCGGCCACGUCGGGGCCGUUCCGUGGCUCCGUCUCGGCCAUCCCACCGAUUUCUCGGUGUUCCGAUGAGCCACGGUGAUACACCGUUCUGAAUACGGAUUCUGGAACGGAGGGCACCGUUCCCGUUCCGGAACGGCCGUUCCGACCGUUCCGACGCCGUUCCGGCGAACCAUGAUUCCGCCAUAGAAUCAUCUUCUUCAUGAGCAUUUCAUUAAGCCCAUUUUCUCCAUUACAACAGCAAUUUCACCCAUUUUCAGCAACUCCAUUGCCCCCAAUAAGCUAAAAGAAACACCACCUGCCAUACCCAAACCACCCACCGUUUUUCCAACUUCUUCAUCCAUUAUCCAUCUCCUCAACAAAUCUACAUUCCCCCUUUUUCUCUGGUAAUUUUUAUUUAAAAUAAAUACCUGGCAAACAAACACGAUCUAUCCAAGUAUAUUACACCGGUUUGACAAAUAUUGCAUAGUGAAAUUGAUGGGGUUCGUUGGCCACCAAGGUGUCUUUUCCCUCUCCCUUCGUCUUAUCUCUGUUUUUCCUUCUCGUCCCUCUCUUUUGAUAGGGAGAGAACCUGCUGCCCUAGAGAGAGAGGGCCCAUUUUGUUGGGCUCAAAAAACAUGUGGUUAGUGGGCUUGGGCUGGAGAGAGAAAGAGGGCUUAGUUGG